GAAAAAUAAUAUUAAAUUAUGUGGACAAAUUAACCUUACAAUCUUCUACAGCCCACCCCACCACAACAACUGUAAAACUCCACCCACUGCCCAAAUCCUUUACAUUACAAGUCUAGAAACUCCCCAUUGUUCGCAUCAUCCAGCAAAAUGGCAGCAGCUGCUCCCCCGCCUCCUCCAUCCCCUGCCCCGGAGGCUCCCACCGGCCUCCCU
RNAcentral lists this unclassified non-coding RNA (210 nucleotides) under Hevea brasiliensis (rubber tree). Lineage: Eukaryota; Viridiplantae; Streptophyta; Magnoliopsida; Malpighiales; Euphorbiaceae. The record is from RNAcentral.